GGGGAGUAUAAGGAAUCGGUGCUCGUAGCCUAAGAGGGGGACAAGGUGAAUUAGGCGACUUAAAACCUUAACCUACUUUGCAUCAAAACAUAAUCUAGAUCAUGCUAACCUACUAAUGACUCUCCUAAGCUUGUGCUAAGCCUUUGAUGGAUCACUUAAGCACUUUUGGUGGUUUGGAUGUGUUUUUGCUGAGUCUUGGUCUUCAAUGCAUCCCUUGACACUCCAACAACUCCAAAUGGGCGAGUGAUGAUGGUAUAAAUAGCCCUUAGGGCUCAAAGAGCCAUUGCUCCAAUGGCU
This 297-nucleotide long non-coding RNA is filed under the name Setaria viridis. RNAcentral describes it as "long non-coding RNA (SVIR_LNC009743)". The record is from RNAcentral. Lineage: Eukaryota; Viridiplantae; Streptophyta; Magnoliopsida; Poales; Poaceae.